Molecule: ribosomal RNA, 482 nt
Filed under: uncultured bacterium
Lineage: Bacteria
Description: partial 16S ribosomal RNA
Rfam family: Bacterial small subunit ribosomal RNA
Source: RNAcentral
AUUGAACGCUGGCGGCAUGCUUUACACAUGCAAGUCGAACGGUAACAGGCCGCAAGGUGCUGACGAGUGGCGAACGGGUGAGUAAUGCAUCGGAACGUGCCCAGUCGUGGGGGAUAACUACUCGAAAGAGUAGCUAAUACCGCAUACGAUCUAUGGAUGAAAGCGGGGGACCGGAAGGCCUCGCGCGAUUGGAGCGGCCGAUGUCAGAUUAGGUAGUUGGUGGGGUAAAGGCUCACCAAGCCAACGAUCUGUAGCUGGUCUGAGAGGACGACCAGCCACACUGGUACUGAGACACGGCCCAGACUCCUACGGGAGGCAGCAGUGGGGAAUUUUGGACAAUGGGCGCAAGCCUGAUCCAGCAAUGCCGCGUGCAGGAAGAAGGCCCUCGGGUUGUAAACUGCUUUUGUACGGAACGAAACGGCUCUGGUUAAUACCCGGGGCUAAUGACGGUACCGUAAGAAUAAGCACCGGCUAACUACGUG